GCAGCCUAAAAAAAAAUAUCAGUUCUUCAAUUAGGAUAUUGAUCUUCUUGAAGUGAAGGUCCAUAAGAGAAAUCGCUCUCCUUCCAGUCUGCGGGUGACUAGUGCCGACCACAAGAGAUCAGCAAUCUGCAAGCAAGAGUUGAGGAGGAAAAGGUCACAUAUCAUACAACAGGCUGAACAUGCCCUCCUUUAAGGACUGGCUUUGUAAGGAAGGAGAUGCUUUGCUGCUGACCAUCCGGCAAGACGUGAGGGAAGACCAAAGAGCCUUGGAGCAGGUGUUGAAGAGCUUGUUAGAAGGGCUGCAAAACCUCUUGCUCCCCGAGUGCAGCUGUUUAGGAUAGAAAUCGCAAAGAAAUUAAAUUCAUGGUUUAUAAAAAAAGGGAUUUGACAGCAAAAAUAUAUCCAAUAUAUCCAUAUAUUUUCUCACUGUCCUGGAGGAAAUGGCCUGUCCUGAGACAGCAGUCGAAUCUGGCCCCAGUUGACCCA
Molecule: long non-coding RNA, 486 nt
Filed under: Struthio camelus australis
Lineage: Eukaryota; Metazoa; Chordata; Aves; Struthioniformes; Struthionidae
Description: lncRNA (ENSSCUG00000002699.1)
Source: RNAcentral